GAUGAACGCUGGCGGCGUGCCUAAUACAUGCAAGUCGAGCGAACGGACGAGAAGCUUGCUUCUCUGAUGUUAGCGGCGGACGGGUGAGUAACACGUGGAUAACCUACCUAUAAGACUGGGAUAACUUCGGGAAACCGGAGCUAAUACCGGAUAAUAUUUUGAACCGCAUGGUUCAAAAGUGAAAGACGGUCUUGCUGUCACUUAUAGAUGGAUCCGCGCUGCAUUAGCUAGUUGGUAAGGUAACGGCUUACCAAGGCAACGAUGCAUAGCCGACCUGAGAGGGUGAUCGGCCACACUGGAACUGAGACACGGUCCAGACUCCUACGGGAGGCAGCAGUAGGGAAUCUUCCGCAAUGGGCGAAAGCCUGACGGAGCAACGCCGCGUGAGUGAUGAAGGUCUUCGGAUCGUAAAACUCUGUUAUUAGGGAAGAACAUAUGUGUAAGUAACUGUGCACAUCUUGACGGUACCUAAUCAGAAAGCCACGGCUAACUACGUGCCAGCAGCCGCGGUAAUACGUAGGUGGCAAGCGUUAUCCGGAAUUAUUGGGCGUAAAGCGCGCGUAGGCGGUUUUUUAAGUCUGAUGUGAAAGCCCACGGCUCACCCGUGGAGGGUCAUUGGAAACUGGAAAACUUGAGUGCAGAAGAGGAAAGUGGAAUUCCAUGUGUAGCGGUGAAAUGCGCAGAGAUAUGGAGGAACACCAGUGGCGAAGGCGACUUUCUGGUCUGUAACUGACGCUGAUGUGCGAAAGCGUGGGGAUCAAACAGGAUUAGAUACCCUGGUAGUCCACGCCGUAAACGAUGAGUGCUAAGUGUUAGGGGGUUUCCGCCCCUUAGUGCUGCAGCUAACGCAUUAAGCACUCCGCCUGGGGAGUACGACCGCAAGGUUGAAACUCAAAGGAAUUGACGGGGACCCGCACAAGCGGUGGAGCAUGUGGUUUAAUUCGAAGCAACGCGAAGAACCUUACCAAAUCUUGACAUCCUUUGACAACUCUAGAGAUAGAGCCUUCCCCUUCGGGGGACAAAGUGACAGGUGGUGCAUGGUUGUCGUCAGCUCGUGUCGUGAGAUGUUGGGUUAAGUCCCGCAACGAGCGCAACCCUUAAGCUUAGUUGCCAUCAUUAAGUUGGGCACUCUAAGUUGGCUGCCGGUGACAAACCGGAGGAAGGUGGGGAUGACGUCAAAUCAUCAUGCCCCUUAUGAUUUGGGCUACACACGUGCUACAAUGGACAAUACAAAGGGCAGCGAAACCGCGAGGUCAAGCAAAUCCCAUAAAGUUGUUCUCAGUUCGGAUUGUAGUCUGCAACUCGACUACAUGAAGCUGGAAUCGCUAGUAAUCGUAGAUCAGCAUGCUACGGUGAAUACGUUCCCGGGUCU
Molecule: ribosomal RNA, 1372 nt
Filed under: uncultured bacterium
Lineage: Bacteria
Description: bacterial SSU rRNA
Rfam family: Bacterial small subunit ribosomal RNA
Source: RNAcentral